RNAcentral lists this ribosomal RNA (869 nucleotides) under uncultured bacterium. Its description in RNAcentral is "bacterial SSU rRNA". It matches the Rfam family "Bacterial small subunit ribosomal RNA", at positions 588 to 1457 of the family's 1533-position model. The record is from RNAcentral.
UNUGAAGUUAAAGGCUGUGGCUUAACCAUAGUACGCUUUGGAAACUGUUUAACUNGAGUGCAGAAGGGGAGAGUGGAAUUCCAUGUGUAGCGGUGAAAUGCGUAGAUAUAUGGAGGANCACCGGUGGCGAAAGCGGCUCUCUGGUCUGUAACUGACGCUGAGGCUCGAAAGCGUGGGGAGCGAACAGGAUUAGAUACCCUGGUAGUCCACGCCGUAAACGAUGAGUGCUAGGUGUUAGGCCCUUUCCGGGGCUUAGUGCCGCAGCUAACGCAUUAAGCACUCCGCCUGGGGAGUACGACCGCAAGGUUGAAACUCAAAGGAAUUGACGGGGGCCCGCACAAGCGGUGGAGCAUGUGGUUUAAUUCGAAGCAACGCGAAGAACCUUACCAGGUCUUGACAUCCCGAUGCCCGCUCUAGAGAUAGAGUUUUACUUCGGUACAUCGGUGACAGGUGGUGCAUGGUUGUCGUCAGCUCGUGUCGUGAGAUGUUGGGUUAAGUCCCGCAACGAGCGCAACCCUUAUUGUUAGUUGCCAUCAUUCAGUUGGGCACUCUAGCGAGACUGCCGGUAAUAAACCGGAGGAAGGUGGGGAUGACGUCAAAUCAUCAUGCCCCUUAUGACCUGGGCUACACACGUGCUACAAUGGCUGGUACAACGAGUCGCAAGUCGGUGACGGCAAGCUAAUCUCUUAAAGCCAGUCUCAGUUCGGAUUGUAGGCUGCAACUCGCCUACAUGAAGUCGGAAUCGCUAGUAAUCGCGGAUCAGCACGCCGCGGUGAAUACGUUCCCGGGCCUUGUACACACCGCCCGUCACACCACGAGAGUUUGUAACACCCGAAGUCGGUGAGGUAACCUUUUAGGAGCCAGCCGCC